CUUGCUUCUUGGGUGACGAGCGGCGGACGGGUGAGUAAUGCAUAGGAAUCUGCCCGAUAGUGGGGGAUAACCUGGGGAAACCCAGGCUAAUACCGCAUACGUCCUACGGGAGAAAGGGGGCUCCGGCUCCCGCUAUGGGAUGAGCCUAUGUCGGAUUAGCUAGUUGGUGAGGUAACGGCUCACCAAGGCCACGAUCCGUAGCUGGUCUGAGAGGAUGAUCAGCCACAUCGGGACUGAGACACGGCCCGAACUCCUACGGGAGGCAGCAGUGGGGAAUAUUGGACAAUGGGCGCAAGCCUGAUCCAGCCAUGCCGCGUGUGUGAAGAAGGCCCUCGGGUUGUAAAGCACUUUCAGCGAGGAAGAACGCCUAGCGGUUAAUACCCGCUAGGAAAGACAUCACUCGCAGAAGAAGCACCGGCUAACUCCGUGCCAGCAGCCGCGGUAAUACGGAGGGUGCAAGCGUUAAUCGGAAUUACUGGGCGUAAAGCGCGCGUAGGUGGCUUGAUAAGCCGGUUGUGAAAGCCCCGGGCUCAACCUGGGAACGGCAUCCGGAACUGUCAAGCUAGAGUGCAGGAGAGGAAGGUAGAAUUCCCGGUGUAG
Molecule: ribosomal RNA, 600 nt
Filed under: uncultured bacterium
Lineage: Bacteria
Description: bacterial SSU rRNA
Rfam family: Bacterial small subunit ribosomal RNA
Source: RNAcentral